Molecule: non-coding RNA, 496 nt
Organism: Paramuricea clavata
Lineage: Eukaryota; Metazoa; Cnidaria; Anthozoa; Malacalcyonacea; Plexauridae
Source: the annotation of a GenBank genome assembly
CACGGAGAUGUGUUUCUGCGCGUGCGUAUAUAUGAAAAGUGUUCACCCCACAAUCAUAAGACAAUCAAACAGCAUUCAAAUCAGACCAACACACCACGUGCGAUACCCUCGGUCCUCUGUGCCUCGGUGAUCAUAAUAUUACAAACUAAUAACAUGACUAGUCGGGAAAUUAGCGAUUAAAUUGCCCAUUUGCCAGACGACUCGGGAAGAUUUGUGAAAGUUCCCGGACUUUCACAAAUCGAUUUAUAUUUUCAUGAGGUGAAAGAUGGAAUUUUUAUGUAACACCAAAAAAGGUAAAUGUUGUUCCUUUUUAUUGAACUAAAUAUAAAACAGAUACAUUCCAACAAACAUGUCCCCAAAAAAGUAAAGAGUUGAUGUAUAAUGGCAUUCAUUUAAGUCACAAUUGUCGUAAAAUCGGCCUCAUAAUGAAUAUUUGGGUUACAUGAGCUACAAUUAGGAUAUGAUUAAGAUUUUGACGGUUGGAAUUUAAGGUUAC